UCUCCGUUGGUGAACCAGCGGAGGGAUCAUUGCUGGAACGCGCCUCGGCGCACCCAGAAACCCUUUGUGAACUUAUACCUACUGUUGCCUCGGCGCAGGCCGGCUUCUUACUAGAAGCCCCCUGGAAACAGGGAGCAGCCCGCCGGCGGCCAACCAAACUCUUGUUUCUAUAGUGAAUCUCUGAGUAAAAACAUAAAUGAAUCAAAACUUUCAACAACGGAUCUCUUGGUUCUGGCAUCGAUGAAGAACGCAGCGAAAUGCGAUAAGUAAUGUGAAUUGCAGAAUUCAGUGAAUCAUCGAAUCUUUGAACGCACAUUGCGCCCUCUGGUAUUCCGGAGGGCAUGCCUGUUCGAGCGUCAUUUCAACCCUCAAGCCUGGCUUGGUGAUGGGGCACUGCCUGUAAAAGGGCAGGCCCUGAAAUCUAGUGGCGAGCUCGCCAGGACCCCGAGCGUAGUAGUUACAUCUCGCUCUGGAAGGCCCUGGCGGUGCCCUGCCGUUAAACCCCCAACUUCUGAAAAUUUGACCUCGGAUCAGGUAGGAAUACCCGCUGAACUUAA
Molecule: ribosomal RNA, 557 nt
Filed under: Phomopsis sp.
Lineage: Eukaryota; Fungi; Ascomycota; Sordariomycetes; Diaporthales; Diaporthaceae
Description: eukaryotic LSU rRNA
Rfam family: 5.8S ribosomal RNA (bases 206-359)
Source: RNAcentral